GAUGAACGCUGGCGGCGUGCCUAAUACAUGCAAGUCGAGCGAACGGACGGGAAGCUUGCUUCUCUGAUGUUAGCGGCGGACGGGUGAGUAACACGUGGAUAACCUACCUAUAAGACUGGGAUAACUUCGGGAAACCGGAGCUAAUACCGGAUAAUAUUUUGAACCGCAUGGUUCAAAAGUGAAAGACGGUCUUGCUGUCACUUAUAGAUGGAUCCGCGCUGCAUUAGCUAGUUGGUAAGGUAACGGCUUACCAAGGCAACGAUGCAUAGCCGACCUGAGUGGGUGAUCGGCCACACUGGAAAUGAGACACGGUCCAGACUCCUACGGGAGGCAGCAGUAGGGAAUCUUCCGCAAUGGGCGAAAGCCUGACGGAGCAACGCCGCGUGAGUGAUGAAGGUCUUCGGAUCGUAAACUCUGUUAUUAGGGAAGAACAUAUGUGUAAGUAACUGUGCACAUCUUGACGGUACCUAAUCAGAAAGCCACGGCUAACUACGU
RNAcentral lists this ribosomal RNA (495 nucleotides) under uncultured bacterium. RNAcentral's name for it is "partial 16S ribosomal RNA". It matches the Rfam family "Bacterial small subunit ribosomal RNA", at positions 28 to 506 of the family's 1533-position model. The record is from RNAcentral.